GUAUAUUAAUAUGCUUGAAGGCAUUAUAAGUAAAAAAUCCAGCAAAACAAAUAAGCAGAAUGCAAAUAUUUAAAUAUAAUUAAGUGGAAAAAAAGAUAAGGGAAGAUGCAAUUGUUGAGAUAAACAAAGAGACAAUAGGUUAAACUAGAAUCCAUUCAAUGAAUAGGGAAAGACAUUUAGAGGAGAGAAAAAGGAAGUUUAUAUGAGUCAAUAUUUUAGGUUGGACUAGACCGAAUUCGGAUC
This 243-nucleotide long non-coding RNA is filed under the name Elaeis guineensis (African oil palm). Its description in RNAcentral is "long non-coding RNA (EGUI_LNC016248)". Lineage: Eukaryota; Viridiplantae; Streptophyta; Magnoliopsida; Arecales; Arecaceae. The record is from RNAcentral.